UUAAGCGACUAAGCGUACACGGUGGAUGCCCUGGCAGUCAGAGGCGAUGAAGGACGUGCUAAUCUGCGAUAAGCGUCGGUAAGGUGAUAUGAACCGUUAUAACCGGCGAUUUCCGAAUGGGGAAACCCAGUGUGUUUCGACACACUAUCAUUAACUGAAUCCAUAGGUUAAUGAGGCGAACCGGGGGAACUGAAACAUCUAAGUACCCCGAGGAAAAGAAAUCAACCGAGAUUCCCCCAGUAGCGGCGAGCGAACGGGGAGCAGCCCAGAGCCUGAAUCAGUGUGUGUGUUAGUGGAAGCGUCUGGAAAGGCGCGCGAUACAGGGUGACAGCCCCGUACACAAAAAUGCACAUGCUGUGAGCUCGAUGAGUAGGGCGGGACACGUGGUAUCCUGUCUGAAUAUGGGGGGACCAUCCUCCAAGGCUAAAUACUCCUGACUGACCGAUAGUGAACCAGUACCGUGAGGGAAAGGCGAAAAGAACCCCGGCGAGGGGAGUGAAAAAGAACCUGAAACCGUGUACGUACAAGCAGUGGGAGCACGCUUAGGCGUGUGACUGCGUACCUUUUGUAUAAUGGGUCAGCGACUUAUAUUCUGUAGCAAGGUUAACCGAAUAGGGGAGCCGAAGGGAAACCGAGUCUUAACUGGGCGUUAAGUUGCAGGGUAUAGACCCGAAACCCGGUGAUCUAGCCAUGGGCAGGUUGAAGGUUGGGUAACACUAACUGGAGGACCGAACCGACUAAUGUUGAAAAAUUAGCGGAUGACUUGUGGCUGGGGGUGAAAGGCCAAUCAAACCGGGAGAUAGCUGGUUCUCCCCGAAAGCUAUUUAGGUAGCGCCUCGUGAAUUCAUCUCCGGGGGUAGAGCACUGUUUCGGCAAGGGGGUCAUCCCGACUUACCAACCCGAUGCAAACUGCGAAUACCGGAGAAUGUUAUCACGGGAGACACACGGCGGGUGCUAACGUCCGUCGUGAAGAGGGAAACAACCCAGACCGCCAGCUAAGGUCCCAAAGUCAUGGUUAAGUGGGAAACGAUGUGGGAAGGCCCAGACAGCCAGGAUGUUGGCUUAGAAGCAGCCAUCAUUUAAAGAAAGCGUAAUAGCUCACUGGUCGAGUCGGCCUGCGCGGAAGAUGUAACGGGGCUAAACCAUGCACCGAAGCUGCGGCAGCGACGCUUAUGCGUUGUUGGGUAGGGGAGCGUUCUGUAAGCCUGCGAAGGUGUGCUGUGAGGCAUGCUGGAGGUAUCAGAAGUGCGAAUGCUGACAUAAGUAACGAUAAAGCGGGUGAAAAGCCCGCUCGCCGGAAGACCAAGGGUUCCUGUCCAACGUUAAUCGGGGCAGGGUGAGUCGACCCCUAAGGCGAGGCCGAAAGGCGUAGUCGAUGGGAAACAGGUUAAUAUUCCUGUACUUGGUGUUACUGCGAAGGGGGGACGGAGAAGGCUAUGUUGGCCGGGCGACGGUUGUCCCGGUUUAAGCGUGUAGGCUGGUUUUCCAGGCAAAUCCGGAAAAUCAAGGCUGAGGCGUGAUGACGAGGCACUACGGUGCUGAAGCAACAAAUGCCCUGCUUCCAGGAAAAGCCUCUAAGCAUCAGGUAACAUCAAAUCGUACCCCAAACCGACACAGGUGGUCAGGUAGAGAAUACCAAGGCGCUUGAGAGAACUCGGGUGAAGGAACUAGGCAAAAUGGUGCCGUAACUUCGGGAGAAGGCACGCUGAUAUGUAGGUGAGGUCCCUCGCGGAUGGAGCUGAAAUCAGUCGAAGAUACCAGCUGGCUGCAACUGUUUAUUAAAAACACAGCACUGUGCAAACACGAAAGUGGACGUAUACGGUGUGACGCCUGCCCGGUGCCGGAAGGUUAAUUGAUGGGGUUAGCGCAAGCGAAGCUCUUGAUCGAAGCCCCGGUAAACGGCGGCCGUAACUAUAACGGUCCUAAGGUAGCGAAAUUCCUUGUCGGGUAAGUUCCGACC
Molecule: ribosomal RNA, 1960 nt
Filed under: human gut metagenome
Description: bacterial LSU rRNA
Rfam family: Bacterial large subunit ribosomal RNA
Source: RNAcentral